RNAcentral lists this ribosomal RNA (465 nucleotides) under Vreelandella stevensii. Its description in RNAcentral is "partial 16S ribosomal RNA". It matches the Rfam family "Bacterial small subunit ribosomal RNA", at positions 338 to 795 of the family's 1533-position model. The record is from RNAcentral. Lineage: Bacteria; Pseudomonadati; Pseudomonadota; Gammaproteobacteria; Oceanospirillales; Halomonadaceae.
CCUACGGGGGGCAGCAGUGGGGAAUAUUGGACAAUGGGGGGAACCCUGAUCCAGCCAUGCCGCGUGUGUGAAGAAGGCCCUCGGGUUGUAAAGCACUUUCAGUGAGGAAGAACGCCUGGUGGUUAAUACCCAUCAGGAAAGACAUCACUCACAGAAGAAGCACCGGCUAACUCCGUGCCAGCAGCCGCGGUAAUACGGAGGGUGCGAGCGUUAAUCGGAAUUACUGGGCGUAAAGCGCGCGUAGGUGGCUUGAUAAGCCGGUUGUGAAAGCCCCGGGCUCAACCUGGGAACGGCAUCCGGAACUGUCAAGCUAGAGUGCAGGAGAGGAAGGUAGAAGUCCCGGUGUAGCGGUGAAAUGCGUAGAGAUCGGGAGGAAUACCAGUGGCGAAGGCGGCCUUCUGGACUGACACUGACACUGAGGUGCGAAAGCGUGGGUAGCAAACAGGAUUAGAUACCCUAGUAGUC